GGUUUCAACUCUGGACCUCUGACCUUCUGCAUGCUGCAGCCAAAAAGAAAAAAGAAAAAAAUACUAAUAAAAACUUUUCCAGCUGGGAAUUGGAGAUUGGUACUUGUCAUCUGCCUCUACAAGGAUUGACUCAUGAGCAUCUGACCCUCAACACCUCCGGAAAGAGAAGUUCAUGGUGAUCAGAGUGAGACACUCUGCUCUGAGAAAACUGGCAGAACAGGUCUUCAGAUAUUUCCCGGAUGAGGCUUUAUGAGCACAAUUCUCGCAUCUCCUUGUAUCUAGAGAAGCAACUAAAAUCCUUCAGUGGUGACACCUGCUCCUUGUAACUAACAGAAACCUUCUGUAAAAAUGUGUGCUUGGUUGCAUGUAUCUCUCCCCUUCACCAAAAAACAUACGUAGACAUCCCCCUCCCCUUCCAGAGAUUUUCACAGCUAUCUGAAAUGCUGCCUUCCCUGAUUAUAGUGAUUUUGCCCCAAAUAAAACACUCACAACUCUCCUAACACUGUGAAUUUUAAGAAAACUUUUUGUGAGUCUUCUUAGGGCCAUUACACAUGGUAUAUAGAGGUUCCCAGGCUAGGGGUUGAAUCGGGGCUGUAGCUGCUGACCUACGCCACAGCAACGCGGGCUCCAAACCGUGUCUGCGACCUACACCACAGCUCAUGGCAACGCCAGAUCCUUAACCUACUGAGUAAGGCCAGGGAUUGCACCCGUGUCCUCAGGGAUGCUGGUUGGGAACACCACAUGGUGAAUUUUUUAAAGGAAAGAUACAACCAAAACUGAUAAGUCAUAUUUUGAGUAUAUUAUUAAGAUAUAUGGGUGCACAUCAACCUAGAAGAGUUGAUUAUGGUUGUGUUUGUAGAGCUGUUACUGGUUUCAUCUCCAGAUUGGACUGGAAAUAGGUGAUUCUUGUUUUCAGACCUGUAUAGUUAUUCAACAGCUUAGUUACAGUGUAGGGUAUCUAUUUUUAAUUAUAUCUUUGAUGAGAAUGUAAAUAUGGGGGGAGGAAUUCUGAAAGACACACACUGUGCAAUUAACAGGGAAUGGCAUGACCAUUAAGGCUGGUGGCCAAAUCGGACUUUCCUCAUUUGCUGAGCACCCACUAUGUGCCAGAUACUGUUCCUCAGGCUGGAAAUACAGACACGAGAGAGACAAGAAAGACCCUGCUCACAUUCCAGUGGUGGAGACGGAAAUGCAACCGUGAUAAGAUACAAGCAUCUGGAUCCAUCAUGAUGCGUGCGUGCAGCACACUUAGGCAGGGAAGGGGAACAGGGCAUGGGGAGGGGGAGGGAUCCACACCUUCAGGUACUCUGUACAGCGGAAGCCUCACCCAACAGGGGACAUCAAGGCCUGAAGGAAGUGAUGAGGUGGGGUGAUCUGGGGGAUGAUCCUGUGAGGAUCACGUCCUGUGGGCCUCUUUCUCAUGUCACAGGGUUAAGUCAUUUGGACAGCGACACAUAGGUGUUCACCUUCCCGUUUUGGAGCAGGAGGUGCAGUGAUGUAUUUUGUCAGUAGGGAGCUGGUCAAUUUAGGGCCGGGAUUUACCUUGGUGAUUUACAUCAUACGCAUAUACGAAGACCUUUGCCACUCUGAAUAAAUCGAGGCUCCAGCCGUGCAUACUAAGUGUGCGCUCCUACAAAAUGGAUCUUUUUGGAAGAAGAGUAUAGAUUGGUCCAAACAGAAUAUCUUAAGUGGCUCAGUCCAGUUUUGUUAAGUUGUUGACAGCUACGUGGGUGACAGUGCUGAACUAGACCCCAGACCCCAGCUGUCACUUGCCCCUUGUGCUGGGACACCCAUCCCUCAUUGGAAUGAAUCAGUUAGAAGUGGGAGCACGUUUCUGUGCCCGUGGCUAUAGGGUUAAGAGGUUAUUUAUUUCACUCAUCUCUGGGUCAGUAGUUUUGGUCAGCAGAAAGGCUGAUCAGUAUCUCUGAGCACCAGCCUAAAUCCCAGCAGAUCACAGUAUGAAGCGCCUAAAUGGUCACAGUGGCUUACAUCACAAUGGGGUGGCCAGUAUGAAAGUCCAGACCACUGUUUAGGCCUAGCCUUACUUCUCCUGAGGGUAGGCAGUGGCUGGCUGGGUUUCUUUGUAUAGAGCUAGAAAAAGACGGGUGUUUUUCUUUCUUUCUUUCUGUCACGCUGAAUUCUUCCGCAGGGAAAUUAAUUUGUGUCUGUGGCAAAGGUAGUCAACAAUUCUCUCCUUUUGCAGGUCCCAGUUUGUUAAGGAAAUCGAAGGGUGUGAUCAACAGCUCGUGCACUGCCGUGCUGCGAACCCAGAGUUCAGGCACUGACGUGGCGCUUCUGAUGGGUCCAAAAGUGAAACUGUCUGACAACCACAGAUUAACAGAAGGACGACAUACAAAUUUAUUUGAUGUUUUAUGUGACAUGGGAUCCUUUACAUGGAAAUGAAGACCUGAUGAAACAGACUUGGGUAUUUUAUGCUAGGUUUGAUAAAGAGUGGACAAUCACGGAAGACUAUGAUAGGUUAAGAAGUAUUAGGUAAUUGUAGUAAAUGGGGAUCAUCUUAACAAAAUCUAUUUUUUUUUCAGAUUAUUGACAUCCUUUCUAAUUCAGAGAUAAAGUUGCUCCUUUCCUCCCAGUAUAGGGAGAGUGCCUGUCACAUGAGGGUUUUAUUACCUGUUUCAGGGGAGAAAGACAAGUGAGGGAGAAGGUCAAAGACACCAGUCUGUUUCUGCCUUUUCUCAAACUCCCUUCAGCUUAAAAUACUAAAUGUCAGUGUGCCAAAUGGUAAAUGUCCUGAACACCAUCAGUGUACUUUACUACAAUAAAAUAAGUGACAAAU
Molecule: long non-coding RNA, 2797 nt
Filed under: Sus scrofa (pig)
Lineage: Eukaryota; Metazoa; Chordata; Mammalia; Artiodactyla; Suidae
Description: lncRNA (ENSSSCG00035044674.1, ENSSSCG00055001212.1, ENSSSCG00185017418.1)
Source: RNAcentral